GACGAACGCUGGCGGCGUGCCUAAUACAUGCAAGUAGAACGCACAGUUUAUACCGUAGCUUGCUACACCAUAGACUGUGAGUUGCGAACGGGUGAGUAACGCGUAGGUAACCUGCCUGGUAGCGGGGGAUAACUAUUGGAAACGAUAGCUAAUACCGCAUAAUAUUGAUUAUUGCAUGAUAAUUAAUUGAAAGGUGCAAUUGCACCACUACCAGAUGGACCUGCGUUGUAUUAGCUAGUAGGUGAGGUAACGGCUCACCUAGGCGACGAUACAUAGCCGACCUGAGAGGGUGAUCGGCCAAACUGGGACUGAGACACGGCCCAGACUCCUACGGGAGGCAGCAGUAGGGAAUCUUCGGCAAUGGACGAAAGUCUGACCGAGCAACGCCGCGCGAGUGAAGAAGGUUUUCGGAUCGUAAAGCUCUGUUGUAAGAGAAGAACGGGUGUGAGAGUGGAAAGUUCACACUGUGACGGUAUCUUACCAGAAAGGGACGGCUAACUACGUG
RNAcentral lists this ribosomal RNA (505 nucleotides) under uncultured bacterium. RNAcentral's name for it is "partial 16S ribosomal RNA". It matches the Rfam family "Bacterial small subunit ribosomal RNA", at positions 28 to 507 of the family's 1533-position model. The record is from RNAcentral.